Molecule: ribosomal RNA, 471 nt
Filed under: uncultured Thiobacillus sp.
Lineage: Bacteria; Pseudomonadati; Pseudomonadota; Betaproteobacteria; Nitrosomonadales; Thiobacillaceae
Description: bacterial SSU rRNA
Rfam family: Bacterial small subunit ribosomal RNA
Source: RNAcentral
UGAAUUGACGGGGCCCGCACAAGCGGUGGAGCAUGUGGUUUAAUUCGACGCAACGCGAAGAACCUUACCUACCCUUGACAUGUCCGGAACUUGCCAGAGAUGGCUUGGUGCCCGAAAGGGAAUCGGAACACAGGUGCUGCAUGGCUGUCGUCAGCUCGUGUCGUGAGAUGUUGGGUUAAGUCCCGCAACGAGCGCAACCCUUAUCAUUAGUUGCUACGCAAGGGCACUCUAAUGAGACUGCCGGUGACAAACCGGAGGAAGGUGGGGAUGACGUCAAGUCCUCAUGGCCCUUAUGGGUAGGGCUUCACACGUCAUACAAUGGUCGGUACAGAGGGUUGCCAAGCCGCGAGGCGGAGCCAAUCCCACAAAGCCGAUCGUAGUCCGGAUUGUUCUCUGCAACUCGAGAGCAUGAAGUCGGAAUCGCUAGUAAUCGCAGGUCAGCAUACUGCGGUGAAUACGUUCCCGGGUCUU